This 305-nucleotide ribosomal RNA is filed under the name uncultured bacterium. RNAcentral's name for it is "bacterial SSU rRNA". It matches the Rfam family "Bacterial small subunit ribosomal RNA", at positions 337 to 659 of the family's 1533-position model. The record is from RNAcentral.
UCCUACGGGACGCAGCAGUGGGGAAUAUUGCACAAUGGGGGAAACCCUGAUGCAGCGACGCCGCGUGAGUGAAGAAGUAUCUCGGUAUGUAAAGCUCUAUCAGCAGGAAAGAUAAUGACGGUACCUGACUAAGAAGCUCCGGCUAACUACGUGCCAGCAGCCGCGGUAAUACGUAGGGAGCAAGCGUUAUCCGGAAUUAUUGGGUGUAAAGGGUGCGUAGACGGGACAGCAAGUUAGUUGUGAAAGCCCUCGGCUUAACUGAGGAACUGCAACUAAAACUAUUGUUCUUGAGUGCAGGAGAGGAA